UGUGGCACUCAAACACAAGCAUGGAGCUGGAAGUGGAGUUGUUUCCGUCCUGCUGUCUGCAGCCUGGGACCACCGUGACUCUUCACCAAGACUUUAUUCACUCUUGAUAAGAUGGAGGAUUAGAGGAUGACACUGCUCCACCUCAACAGCCUAGUGACGCCCCUGAUGGACGACGGCGCCCUUAGCAUUCACCUAUACCGCCUGCGCCCUGGGCCAGCCCUGAUGUCCCUCUUCCACCCCCUGAGGCUUGGAAUAUUUUUCAGUGAAGUGUUGAUGCCCGAUACUGAUAUUCAGGACAGCACUACUGGCAACACCUAAAAAAAUAUGAUUCUGUGACGGCGAUUUCCUCCUCUCUUCUCCCCGAUGUUCUACGGAGUGUGAGAAACAAAAGGUGAACAUCUGCGGUGACAAUGGAUCCUGUGCAGGUGGCGUUUUUGUCUUCACCACACAGAUCAAAGCAGGAAGGAUUAGGAGGAUGACACGCAG
Molecule: long non-coding RNA, 486 nt
Organism: Epinephelus fuscoguttatus (brown-marbled grouper)
Lineage: Eukaryota; Metazoa; Chordata; Actinopteri; Perciformes; Serranidae
Exons: 4
Source: RefSeq, a predicted model, not a curated record